AACGCGAAGAACCUUACCUGGGUUUGACAUGCACAGGACGCCGGUAGAGAUAUCGGUUCCCUUGUGGUCUGUGUGCAGGUGGUGCAUGGCUGUCGUCAGCUCGUGUCGUGAGAUGUUGGGUUAAGUCCCGCAACGAGCGCAACCCUUGUCUCAUGUUGCCAGCGCGUUAUGGCGGGGACUCGUGAGAGACUGCCGGGGUCAACUCGGAGGAAGGUGGGGAUGACGUCAAGUCAUCAUGCCCCUUAUGUCCAGGGCUGCACGCAUGCUACAAUGGCCGGUACAAAGGGCUGCGAUACCGUGAGGUGGAGCGAAUCCCAUAAAGCCGGUCUCAGUUCGGAUCGGGGUCUGCAACUCGACCCCGUGAAGUCGGAGCCGCUAGUAAUCGCAGAUCAGCAAUGCUGCGGUGAAUACGUUCCCGGGUCUUGUACACACCGA
RNAcentral lists this ribosomal RNA (435 nucleotides) under uncultured soil bacterium. RNAcentral's name for it is "bacterial SSU rRNA". It matches the Rfam family "Bacterial small subunit ribosomal RNA", at positions 958 to 1393 of the family's 1533-position model. The record is from RNAcentral.